Sphaeramia orbicularis (orbiculate cardinalfish) is the source of this 834-nucleotide long non-coding RNA. RefSeq lists it as uncharacterized. The transcript has 3 exons. Lineage: Eukaryota; Metazoa; Chordata; Actinopteri; Kurtiformes; Apogonidae. The record is from RefSeq and is a predicted model, not a curated record.
AGUCAGGUCUAGUCAGGUCCAAUCAGGUCUAGUCAGGUCCAGUCAGGUCUAGUCAGGUCCAGUCAGGUCUAGUCAGGUCCAAUCAGGUCUAGUCAGGUCUAGUCAGGUCCAAUCAGGUCUAGUCAGGUCCAGUCAGGUCUAGUCAGGUCCAAUCAGGUCUAGUCAGGUCUAGUCAGGUCCAAUCAGGUCUAGUCAGGUCCAAUCAGGUCUAGUCAGGUCCAGUCAGGUCUAGUCAGGUCCAAUCAGGUCUAGUCAGGUCUAGUCAGGUCCAAUCAGGUCUAGUCAGGUCCAGUCAGGUCUAGUCAGGUCCAAUCAGGUCUAGUCAGGUCCAGUCAGGUCUAGUCAGGUCCAAUCAGGUCUAGUCAGGUCCAGUCAGGUCUAGUCAGGUCCAGUCAGGUCUAGUCAGGUCCAGUCAGGUCUAGUCAGGUCCAAUCAGGUCUAGUCAGGUCCAAUCAGGUCUAGUCAGGUCCAGUCAGGUCUAGUCAGGUCCAGUCAGGUCUAGUCAGGUCCAAUCAGGUCCAAUCAGGUCUAGUCAGGUCCAAUCAGGUCUAGUCAGGUCCAAUCAGGUCUAGUCAGGUCCAAUCAGGUCUAGUCAGGUCUAGUCAGGUCCAAUCAGGUCUAGUCAGGUCCAAUCAGGUCUAGUCAGGUCCAAUCAGGUCUAGUCAGGUCUAGUCAGGUCCAGUCAGGUCUAGUCAGGUCUAGUCAGGUCUAGUCAGGUCCAAUCAGGUCUAGUCAGGUCUAGUCAGGUCUAGUCAGGUCCAAUCAGGUCUAGUCAGGUCCAAUCAGGUCUAGUCAGGUCCAAUCAGGUCUAGUCAGGUCUAGUCAGGUCUAGUC